Molecule: ribosomal RNA, 484 nt
Filed under: uncultured bacterium
Lineage: Bacteria
Description: partial 16S ribosomal RNA
Rfam family: Bacterial small subunit ribosomal RNA
Source: RNAcentral
AUUGAACGCUGGCGGCAGGCCUAACACAUGCAAGUCGAGCGGAUGAAGGGAGCUUGCUCCUGGAUUCAGCGGCGGACGGGUGAGUAAUGCCUAGGAAUCUGCCUGGUAGUGGGGGAUAACGUCCGGAAACGGGCGCUAAUACCGCAUACGUCCUGAGGGAGAAAGUGGGGGAUCUUCGGACCUCACGCUAUCAGAUGAGCCUAGGUCGGAUUAGCUAGUUGGUGGGGUAAAGGCCUACCAAGGCGACGAUCCGUAACUGGUCUGAGAGGAUGAUCAGUCACACUGGAACUGAGACACGGUCCAGACUCCUACGGGAGGCAGCAGUGGGGAAUAUUGGACAAUGGGCGAAAGCCUGAUCCAGCCAUGCCGCGUGUGUGAAGAAGGUCUUCGGAUUGUAAAGCACUUUAAGUUGGGAGGAAGGGCAGUAAGUUAAUACCUUGCUGUCUUGACGUUACCAACAGAAUAAGCAACGGCUAACUUCGUG